RNAcentral lists this ribosomal RNA (253 nucleotides) under uncultured bacterium. RNAcentral describes it as "partial 16S ribosomal RNA". It matches the Rfam family "Bacterial small subunit ribosomal RNA", at positions 524 to 776 of the family's 1533-position model. The record is from RNAcentral.
UACGUAGGGCGCAAGCGUUAUCCGGAAUUAUUGGGCGUAAAGAGCUCGUAGGCGGUUUGUCGCGUCUGCUGUGAAAACUCGGGGCUUAACCCCGGGCCUGCAGUGGGUACGGGCAGACUAGAGUGCGGUAGGGGAGACUGGAAUUCCUGGUGUAGCGGUGAAAUGCGCAGAUAUCAGGAGGAACACCGGUGGCGAAGGCGGGUCUCUGGGCCGAAAUUGACGCUGAGGAGCGAAAGCGUGGGGAGCAAACAGG